GCGCUGAAUCCUAUCGCCCUAGCGGGCGGCCAGGAAAUGUAGCGUUCGGGAGGAGAAUAAAAUUUUCGCGCGGCUUCUAGGCGGCCAGUCCAAGUUCAUCUUGAAAGGGGCCCCGCUUAUCCGUAGAGGGUGCCAGGCCCGUAGUGACGGUCGCCGGCCGCGACGGUCUCUCUCCCCAGAGUCGGGUUGCUUGAGAGUGCAGCCCUAAGCGGGUGGUAAACUCCAUCUAAGGCUAAAUACGACCACGAGACCGAUAGCGAACAAGUACCGUAAGGGAAAGUUGA
This 284-nucleotide ribosomal RNA is filed under the name Orthopsyche thomasi. RNAcentral's name for it is "partial 28S ribosomal RNA". It matches the Rfam family "Eukaryotic large subunit ribosomal RNA", at positions 112 to 367 of the family's 3401-position model. The record is from RNAcentral. Lineage: Eukaryota; Metazoa; Arthropoda; Insecta; Trichoptera; Hydropsychidae.